AUGGGUGACGCCAAGUCGUCGUGGCCGGAGCUGCUGGGGGCGCCGUCCGAGGUGGCGAAGCAGAAGAUCCUCAGUGACCGCCCGGACGUGCGCGUGUUCGUGGUGCCCGUCGGCAACAACGUCACCGGCGACUUCAACGACAAGCGCGUCCGCGUCUUCGUCAACACCCGCGGCGACGUCGCCAGGGUCCCCAACAUCGGCUAG
This 204-nucleotide ribosomal RNA is filed under the name Triticum aestivum (bread wheat). RNAcentral describes it as "partial small subunit ribosomal RNA". Lineage: Eukaryota; Viridiplantae; Streptophyta; Magnoliopsida; Poales; Poaceae. The record is from RNAcentral.